GGUUAGCGGCGGACGGGUGAGUAACACGUGGGCAACCUGCCUGUAAGAGGGGAUAACACCGGGAAACCGGUGCUAAUACCGGAUAAUCUUUUUCCUCUCAUGAGGAAAAGCUGAAAGACGGUUUCGGCUGUCACUUACAGAUGGGCCCGCGGCGCAUUAGCUAGUUGGUGAGGUAACGGCUCACCAAGGCGACGAUGCGUAGCCGACCUGAGAGGGUGAUCGGCCACACUGGGACUGAGACACGGCCCAGACUCCUACGGGAGGCAGCAGUAGGGAAUCUUCCACAAUGGACGAAAGUCUGAUGGAGCAACGCCGCGUGAGCGAUGAAGGCCUUCGGGUCGUAAAGCUCUGUUGUUAGGGAAGAACAAGUACCGGAGUAACUGCCGGUACCUUGACGGUACCUAACCAGAAAGCCACGGCUAACUACGUGCCAGCAGCCGCGGWAAUACGUAGGUGGCAAGCGUUGUCCGGAAUUAUUGGGCGUAAAGCGCGCGCAGGCGGUCCUUUAAGUCUGAUGUGAAAGCCCACGGCUCAACCGUGGAGGGUCAUUGGAAACUGGGGGACUUGAGUACAGAAGAGGAAAGCGGAAUUCCACGUGUAGCGGUGAAAUGCGUAGAGAUGUGGAGGAACACCAGUGGCGAAGGCGGCUUUCUGGUCUGUAACUGACGCUGASGCGCGAAAGCGUGGGGAGCAAACAGGAUUAGAUACCCCUGGUAGUCCACGCCGUACACGAUGAGUGCUAAGUGUUAGGRGGUUUCAGCCCCUUAGUGCUGCAGCUAACGCAUUAAGCACUCCGCCUGGGGAG
This 805-nucleotide ribosomal RNA is filed under the name Bacillus sp. (in: firmicutes). RNAcentral describes it as "bacterial SSU rRNA". The record is from RNAcentral. Lineage: Bacteria; Bacillati; Bacillota; Bacilli; Caryophanales; Bacillaceae.